AACGAACGCUGGCGGCGUGGUUGAUACAUGCAAGUCGAACGGGAAACGGGGCUUCGGCCCCGGAGUACAGUGGCGGACGGGUGAGUAACGUAUGAUCAAUCUGCCCUCAAGACUAGGAUAGCCAUCCGAAAGGAUGGGUAAUACUGGAUAAGCCCACAGGCAGGCAUCUGUCUGUGUGAAAAGGAUUGGGAUCUUCGGACCUUUCGCUUGAGGAUGAGAUCAUAACCUAUCAGUUAGUUGGCGGGGUAACGGCCCACCAAGACGACGACGGGUAGCCGGCCUGAGAGGGUGGACGGCCACACUGGAACUGAGACACGGUCCAGACUCCUACGGGAGGCAGCAGUGCUGAAUUAUUCGCCAAUGCGCGAAAGCGUGACGGUGCGACGCCGCGUGCGGGACGAAGGCCUUCGGGUUGUAAACCGCUGUCAGGGAUUAGAAAACCUAUAUGGUUAAUAGCCAUGUAGCUGAUCAGUCCCAAAGGAAGCACAGGCUAAUCUCGUGCCAGCCGCCGCAGUAAUAC
Molecule: ribosomal RNA, 520 nt
Filed under: uncultured bacterium
Lineage: Bacteria
Description: bacterial SSU rRNA
Rfam family: Bacterial small subunit ribosomal RNA
Source: RNAcentral